CCAGCACCCCGAGUUGUCGGGACGAUUAUUGGGCCUGAAGCAUCCGUAGCCUGUUCUGCAAGUCCUCCGUUAAAUCCACCUGCUCAACGGGUGGGCUGCGGAGGAUACCGCAGAGCUAGGAGGCGGGAGAGGCAAACGGUACUCAGUAGGUAGGGGUAAAAUCCAUUGAUCUACUGAAGACCACCAGUGGCGAAGGCGGUUCGCCAGAACGCGCUCGACGGUGAGGGAUGAAAGCUGGGGGAGCAAACCGGAUUAGAUACCCGGGUAGUCCCAGCUGUAAACGAUGCAGACUCGGUGAUGGGUUGGCCUUGAGCCAACCCAGUGCCGCAGGGAAGCCGUUAAGUCUGCCGCCUGGGGAGUACGGUCGCAAGACUG
This 375-nucleotide ribosomal RNA is filed under the name uncultured organism. RNAcentral describes it as "bacterial SSU rRNA". It matches the Rfam family "Archaeal small subunit ribosomal RNA", at positions 476 to 851 of the family's 1478-position model. The record is from RNAcentral.